RNAcentral lists this unclassified non-coding RNA (214 nucleotides) under Hevea brasiliensis (rubber tree). The record is from RNAcentral. Lineage: Eukaryota; Viridiplantae; Streptophyta; Magnoliopsida; Malpighiales; Euphorbiaceae.
UGAAUAACUACAACUGGAUAAGAUCCUUGAAACAAUAAGUACCAACAAGGAACCAACCAACAAGAACAACAGCAAAAGCAAUCCAGCCAAACAGGAUUAUCGACCCACCAAAUACAAGAGCUAUGCAGAGUAGCACAGCAAAAGGCAGCAAAGACUUCACCAUAGCCGUUUUGUUCACCCAAGUACCUCUCAACAACAUCAGAACAGCCAAGUU